Molecule: small nucleolar RNA, 104 nt
Filed under: Arabidopsis suecica
Lineage: Eukaryota; Viridiplantae; Streptophyta; Magnoliopsida; Brassicales; Brassicaceae
Also listed under: 2 other names
Description: snoR100
Rfam family: Small nucleolar RNA snoR100
Source: RNAcentral
UAAUGAAUGUAGCAUGGUACUGUACACGGAAACUGAACUAUGGAUCGACAUGUCUGCCAUCUCUGAUUUUCCCUGAUUAGACGGCCUGGUUUAGAUCCACAUUC